UUUCCCAAGCCCUUACGUCUCUGGUCUCUUUUGCUUAAAUUCGAAACACAACCUUGCUCCAUAAAUCUUCCGGAUUGCUGAAAUUUCACCCACUCCGUUAUCAAUCAAGGUUUGCUCAAUAUCUUGAGCAAGCAACCACCUUUAAUUCCCUUUUUUUCUAGUAAAGGAUAUCUCUUGUCUCUUUCCCUGUUGCAUUAGAUGUUGGCUUUUGGUUUUGUUCUCUUGUUUUCCUGGUUACUCCUAAUUUUAAGUUCUUGUAAUGGGAUUUAGGACUUUUUAAGUUGUACCUUUCACUGCUCUCUUGUGUAAUUUUGUCAAUAAUAUGAAUUAAAUUGGUACUUUCUAAAGAAAA
This is a long non-coding RNA of Lycium ferocissimum, 352 nucleotides long. RefSeq lists it as uncharacterized. The transcript is spliced from 2 exons. NCBI's taxonomy places the organism in Eukaryota, Viridiplantae, Streptophyta, Magnoliopsida, Solanales, Solanaceae. The record is from RefSeq and is a predicted model, not a curated record.